RNAcentral lists this ribosomal RNA (753 nucleotides) under uncultured Pseudomonas sp. RNAcentral describes it as "bacterial SSU rRNA". It matches the Rfam family "Bacterial small subunit ribosomal RNA", at positions 28 to 776 of the family's 1533-position model. Lineage: Bacteria; Pseudomonadati; Pseudomonadota; Gammaproteobacteria; Pseudomonadales; Pseudomonadaceae. The record is from RNAcentral.
AUUGAACGCUGGCGGCAGGCCUAACACAUGCAAGUCGAGCGGAUGAAGGGGGCUUGCUCCUGGAUUCAGCGGCGGACGGGUGAGUAAUGCCUAGGAAUCUGCCUGGUAGUGGGGGAUAACGUCCGGAAACGGGCGCUAAUACCGCAUACGUCCUGAGGGAGAAAGUGGGGGAUCUUCGGACCUCACGCUAUCAGAUGAGCCUAGGUCGGAUUAGCUAGUUGGUGGGGUAAAGGCCUACCAAGGCGACGAUCCGUAACUGGUCUGAGAGGAUGAUCAGUCACACUGGAACUGAGACACGGUCCAGACUCCUACGGGAGGCAGCAGUGGGGAAUAUUGGACAAUGGGCGAAAGCCUGAUCCAGCCAUGCCGCGUGUGUGAAGAAGGUCUUCGGAUUGUAAAGCACUUUAAGUUGGGAGGAAGGGCAGUAAGUUAAUACCUUGCUGUUUUGACGUUACCAACAGAAUAAGCACCGGCUAACUUCGUGCCAGCAGCCGCGGUAAUACGAAGGGUGCAAGCGUUAAUCGGAAUUACUGGGCGUAAAGCGCGCGUAGGUGGUUCAGCAAGUUGGAUGUGAAAUCCCCGGGCUCAACCUGGGAACUGCAUCCAAAACUACUGAGCUAGAGUACGGUAGAGGGUGGUGGAAUUUCCUGUGUAGCGGUGAAAUGCGUAGAUAUAGGAAGGAACACCAGUGGCGAAGGCGACCACCUGGACUGAUACUGACACUGAGGUGCGAAAGCGUGGGGAGCAAACAGG